Molecule: ribosomal RNA, 455 nt
Filed under: uncultured bacterium
Lineage: Bacteria
Description: bacterial SSU rRNA
Rfam family: Bacterial small subunit ribosomal RNA
Source: RNAcentral
AUACGGGAGGCAGCAGUAAGGAAUAUUGGACAAUGGUCGCAAGACUGAUCCAGCCAUGCCGCGUGAAGGAUGAAUGCCCUAUGGGUUGUAAACUUCUUUUAAACGGGAAAAAACCCCACUACGUGUAGUGGGCUGAUGGUACCGUAAGAAUAAGGAUCGGCUAACUUCGUGCCAGCAGCCGCGGUAAUACGAAGGAUUCGAGCGUUAUCCGGAUUUAUUGGGUUUAAAGGGUGCGUAGGUGGAUUAAUAAGUCAGUGGUGAAAGCCCAGAGCUCAACUCUGGAACUGCCAUUGAUACUGUUAAUCUUGAGUACAGUUGAGGUGGGCGGAAUGUGUCAUGUAGCGGUGAAAUGCUUAGAUAUGACACAGAACACCGAUUGCGAAGGCAGCUCACUAAGCUGUAACUGACACCGAGGCACGAAAGCGUGGGGAGCAAACAGGAUUAGAUACCCGAGU